RNAcentral lists this ribosomal RNA (551 nucleotides) under uncultured fungus. RNAcentral's name for it is "eukaryotic LSU rRNA". The stretch from base 186 to 339 matches the Rfam family "5.8S ribosomal RNA". Lineage: Eukaryota; Fungi. The record is from RNAcentral.
AAGUCGUAACAAGGUCUCCGUUGGUGAACCAGCGGAGGGAUCAUUACUGAGUACUACACUCUCUACCCUUUGUGAACUAUUAUACCUGUUGCUUCGGCGGCGCCCGCAAGGGUGCCCGCCGGUCUCAUCAGAAUCUCUGUUUUCGAACCCGACGAUACUUCUGAGUGUUCUUAGCGAACUGUCAAAACUUUUAACAACGGAUCUCUUGGCUCCAGCAUCGAUGAAGAACGCAGCGAAACGCGAUAUGUAAUGUGAAUUGCAGAAUUCAGUGAAUCAUCGAAUCUUUGAACGCACAUGGCGCCUUCCAGUAUCCUGGGAGGCAUGCCUGUCCGAGCGUCGUUUCAACCCUCGAGCCCCUGUGGCCCGGCGUUGGGGAUCUGCCACGGCAGGCCCCUAAAACCAGUGGCGGACCCGAAGGGCCCUCUCCUUUGCGCAGUAGCAUUCGCCUCGCAUCGGGAGUCCUCGGCGUCCUGCCUCUAAACCCCCCACAAGCCCGCUUCGGCGGCACCAAGGUUGACAUCGGAUCAGGUAGGAAUACCCGCUGAACUUAA